This 489-nucleotide ribosomal RNA is filed under the name uncultured bacterium. RNAcentral's name for it is "partial 16S ribosomal RNA". It matches the Rfam family "Bacterial small subunit ribosomal RNA", at positions 29 to 507 of the family's 1533-position model. The record is from RNAcentral.
AUGAACGCUAGCGAUAGGCUUAACACAUGCAAGUCGAGGGGCAGCAUGUUCUUAGCUUGCUAAGACUGAUGGCGAUCGGCGCACGGGUGCUUAACGCGUAUUCAACUUGCCUCACAGAGGGGUAUAACCCGUCGAAAGACGGACUAAUACCGCGUACACUUGGUAUAGGGCAUCCUGACCCAAGGAAAUUAAAUUCGCUGUGAGAUAGGCAUGCGUCCCAUUGGCUAGUUGGUGAGGUAACGGCUCACCAAGGCGACGAAGGGUAGAGGAACUGAGAGGUUGAACCCCGACACGGGUACUGAGACACGGACCAGACUCCUACGGGAGGCAGCAGUGAGGAAUAGUGGGCAAUGGGCGAGAGCCUGAACCAGCCAAGUCGAGUGAAGGAUGACUGUCUUAUGGAUUGUAAACUUCUUUUAUACGGGAAUAACAAGAGUCACGUGUGGCUCCCUGCAGGUACCGGAUGAAUAAGCAUCGGCUAACUCCGUG